This 198-nucleotide ribosomal RNA is filed under the name uncultured bacterium. RNAcentral's name for it is "partial 16S ribosomal RNA". It matches the Rfam family "Bacterial small subunit ribosomal RNA", at positions 1302 to 1500 of the family's 1533-position model. The record is from RNAcentral.
AGGCUGCAACUCGCCUACAUGAAGUUGGAAUCGCUAGUAAUCGCGAAUCAGAAUGUCGCGGUGAAUACGUUCCCGGGUCUUGUACACACCGCCCGUCACACCACGAGAGUUACAACACCCGAAGUCAGUGGCCUAACCGCAAGGAGGGAGCUGCCUAAGGUGGGGUAGAUGAUUGGGGUGAAGUCGUAACAAGGUAGC